This 763-nucleotide ribosomal RNA is filed under the name Bacillus cereus. RNAcentral describes it as "bacterial SSU rRNA". It matches the Rfam family "Bacterial small subunit ribosomal RNA", at positions 33 to 775 of the family's 1533-position model. The record is from RNAcentral. Lineage: Bacteria; Bacillati; Bacillota; Bacilli; Caryophanales; Bacillaceae.
ACGCUGGCGGCGUGCCUAAUACAUGCAAGUCGAGCGAAUGGAUUAAGAGCUUGCUCUUAUGAAGUUAGCGGCGGACGGGUGAGUAACACGUGGGUAACCUGCCCAUAAGACUGGGAUAACUCCGGGAAACCGGGGCUAAUACCGGAUAACAUUUUGAACUGCAUGGUUCGAAAUUGAAAGGCGGCUUCGGCUGUCACUUAUGGAUGGACCCGCGUCGCAUUAGCUAGUUGGUGAGGUAACGGCUCACCAAGGCAACGAUGCGUAGCCGACCUGAGAGGGUGAUCGGCCACACUGGGACUGAGACACGGCCCAGACUCCUACGGGAGGCAGCAGUAGGGAAUCUUCCGCAAUGGACGAAAGUCUGACGGAGCAACGCCGCGUGAGUGAUGAAGGCUUUCGGGUCGUAAAACUCUGUUGUUAGGGAAGAACAAGUGCUAGUUGAAUAAGCUGGCACCUUGACGGUACCUAACCAGAAAGCCACGGCUAACUACGUGCCAGCAGCCGCGGUAAUACGUAGGUGGCAAGCGUUAUCCGGAAUUAUUGGGCGUAAAGCGCGCGCAGGUGGUUUCUUAAGUCUGAUGUGAAAGCCCACGGCUCAACCGUGGAGGGUCAUUGGAAACUGGGAGACUUGAGUGCAGAAGAGGAAAGUGGAAUUCCAUGUGUAGCGGUGAAAUGCGUAGAGAUAUGGAGGAACACCAGUGGCGAAGGCGACUUUCUGGUCUGUAACUGACACUGAGGCGCGAAAGCGUGGGGGAGCAAACAG